Long non-coding RNA from Chinchilla lanigera (long-tailed chinchilla), 268 nucleotides. RefSeq lists it as uncharacterized. The record is from RefSeq and is a predicted model, not a curated record. The transcript has 2 exons. Lineage: Eukaryota; Metazoa; Chordata; Mammalia; Rodentia; Chinchillidae.
GCCAAGCAGGCGCUUUUGCCGUUGAGCUAAAUCCCCAGCCCCUACAGAGGCUUUAAAGUCUACAAAAAAGCUAGGUAGUUUUGGCAGCACACACCUAUCAUCCCAGCACUCUGGGAGGCUGAGGCAAGAGGACUGCAAAUUCAAGCUCAGUCUGGGCAACUUGGAGACCCUGGCUUCUAAAAUGAAUAAAGCCUGUGGGGGACAUGGGCAAGUUCUAUUGCCAACAAAGUUUGUGAGCAUCUGUGGUACCCACAGUUUGGAAGCCGUC